Molecule: unclassified non-coding RNA, 392 nt
Filed under: soil metagenome
Description: partial contains 5.8S ribosomal RNA, internal transcribed spacer 2, and large subunit ribosomal RNA
Rfam family: 5.8S ribosomal RNA (bases 1-122)
Source: RNAcentral
GAUGAAGAACGCAGCGAAAUGCGAUACUUGGUGUGAAUUGCAGAAUCCCGUGAACCAUCGAGUCUUUGAACGCAAGUUGCGCCCGAAGCCAUUAGGCCGAGGGCACGCCUGCCUGGGUGUCACACACCGUUACCCUCGCGCCAACGUCCAUCGUUGGCCGCGGCGCGGGGCGUGCGCUGACCUCCCGCGAGCGGGGUCUCGUGGUUGGUUGAAAAUCGAGUUCGCGGUCGAGGGUGCCGUGAUGAAAUGGUGGAUGGGCGACGCCCGAGGCCAAUCACGCGCGACUCUGUCCGGCUCGGACUCCUGGACCCCUUCGGCGUCUCCGGACGCUCUUUGGCGAGACUUCAGGUCAGGCGGGGCUACCCGCUGAGUUUAAGCAUAUCAGCGGAGGA